UUCAACUUAUAGUACGCAUCUAUGAGGUUGUUAAGCAAAAAGGUUUCUGGGUUUGCAACGGUUUUGACUAUGCUAGCAUGUAGCCCUUUCGCUUGGUGUAAAUUACGAGUUUCGCAGCAUUGUUUCAGUAGCGAACAGUAGUGGUUGGAAAUGUGAGACAUUGUGCUUGUUUAAGGGCGGUUUUGACGGGAGAGUAUGUAGAGUAUUCAUUAAAUUAGCUUCAUAAGCCGAGAUUGUAGCAACAGAGAUUAUAGCAACAAUGGAGGAAAUUGUUUCAGUGAGGCUUAACUGUGUCUUACCCCAACUCUCUAGGAUUUCUAAACAGACAUUCCUAGACGAGUUAAUUUAAUCCC
RNAcentral lists this long non-coding RNA (353 nucleotides) under Olea europaea (common olive). Its description in RNAcentral is "long non-coding RNA (OEUR_LNC004905)". The record is from RNAcentral. Lineage: Eukaryota; Viridiplantae; Streptophyta; Magnoliopsida; Lamiales; Oleaceae.